ACGGAGGGUGCAAGCGUUAAUCGGAAUUACUGGGGGGAAAGGGAAAGAAGGCUGUAUGGAAAGUCAGGGGUGAAAUCCCACGGCUUAACUGUGGAACUGCCUUUGAUACUGCACAACUUGAAUCCGGGAGAGGGUGGCGGAAUUCCAGGUGUAGGAGUGAAAUCCGUAGAUAUCUGGAGGAACAUCAAUGGCGAAGGCGGCCACCUGGACCGGUAUUGACGCUGAGGUGCGAAAGCGUGGGGAGCAAACAG
This 251-nucleotide ribosomal RNA is filed under the name uncultured prokaryote. RNAcentral describes it as "partial 16S rRNA". It matches the Rfam family "Bacterial small subunit ribosomal RNA", at positions 525 to 775 of the family's 1533-position model. The record is from RNAcentral.